CAUGGCCUCUUGCUAACCGAACGUAUAAGAGGUCCCGCCUGCCCUGUGAUUAUAUGUUUACCGGCCGCGGUAUUUUGCCGUGCGAAGGUAGCGCAAUCACUUGUCUUUUAAAUGGGGACCUGUAUGAAUGGCAUAACGAGGGCUUGACUGUCUCCUCUUUCAAGUCAAUGAAAUUGAUCUCCCCGUGCAGAAGCGGGGAUAAACACAUAAGACGAGAAGACCCUAUGGAGCUUUAGACACUAAAGCAGAUCAGCAUUAAUACCCUUAACAACAGGACCCGAAUUAACUGAACCCUGCCCUAAUGUCUUUGGUUGGGGCGACCGCGGAGAAACAAAAAACCCCCGCAAGGACCGAAUGUACCACAUUCACAACUAAGAGCGACAGCUCUAAUUAACAGAAUUUCUGACCAGUAAGAUCCGGCAACGCCGAUCAAUGAACCGAGUUACCCUAGGGAUAACAGCGCAAUCUCCUCUUAGAGUCCAUAUCGACGAGGAGGKUUACGACCUCGAUGUUGGAUCAGGACAUCCUAAUGGUGCAGCCCGCUAUUAAGGGUUCGUUUGUUCAACGAUUAAAGUCCUACGUGAUCUGA
RNAcentral lists this ribosomal RNA (589 nucleotides) under Mycteroperca rosacea (leopard grouper). RNAcentral's name for it is "partial 16S ribosomal RNA". It matches the Rfam family "Bacterial large subunit ribosomal RNA", at positions 1814 to 2608 of the family's 2925-position model. Lineage: Eukaryota; Metazoa; Chordata; Actinopteri; Perciformes; Serranidae. The record is from RNAcentral.